UACGGGGGGAGCAAGCGUUGUUCGGAUUUACUGGGCGUAAAGGGCGCGUAGGCGGCGUGGUAAGUCACUUGUGAAAUCUCUGAGCUUAACUCAGAACGGUCAAGUGAUACUGCUGUGCUAGAGUGCAGAAGGGGCAAUCGGAAUUCUUGGUGUAGCGGUGAAAUGCGUAGAUAUCAAGAGGAACACCUGAGGUGAAGACGGGUUGCUGGGCUGACACUGACGUGAGGCGCGAAAGCCAGGGGAGCAAACGGG
Molecule: ribosomal RNA, 252 nt
Filed under: uncultured bacterium
Lineage: Bacteria
Description: partial 16S ribosomal RNA
Rfam family: Bacterial small subunit ribosomal RNA
Source: RNAcentral